AGUGAACGCUGGCGGUAGGCCUAACACAUGCAAGUCGAACGGCGGCACAGGAGAGCUUGCUCUCUGGGUGGCGAGUGGCGGACGGGUGAGGAAUACAUCGGAAUCUACUCUGUCGUGGGGGAUAACGUAGGGAAACUUACGCUAAUACCGCAUACGACCUACGGGUGAAAGCAGGGGACCUUCGGGCCUUGCGCGAUUGAAUGAGCCGAUGUCGGAUUAGCUAGUUGGCGGGGUAAAGGCCCACCAAGGCGACGAUCCGUAGCUGGUCUGGGAGGAUGAUCAGCCACACUGGAACUGAGAAACGGGCCAGACGCCUACGGGAGGCAGCAGUGGGGAAUAUUGGACAAUGGGCGCAAGCCUGAUCCAGCCAUACCGCGUGGGUGAAGAAGGCCUUCGGGUUGUAAAGCCCUUUUGUUGGGAAAGAAAUCCAGCUGGCUAAUACCCGGUUGGGAUGACGGUACCCAAAGAAUAAGCACCGGCUAACUUCGUGCCAGCAGCCGCCGUAA
RNAcentral lists this ribosomal RNA (506 nucleotides) under uncultured bacterium. RNAcentral's name for it is "partial 16S ribosomal RNA". It matches the Rfam family "Bacterial small subunit ribosomal RNA", at positions 29 to 523 of the family's 1533-position model. The record is from RNAcentral.